UGAACUGGAAAAAGUCCCCAAUCCAACAUCC
RNAcentral lists this non-coding RNA (31 nucleotides) under Homo sapiens (human). The record is from RNAcentral. Lineage: Eukaryota; Metazoa; Chordata; Mammalia; Primates; Hominidae.